ACGUGUGUUUCCUUUAGAUGGCAGGAUAAAAACAAGAGUCGACAUAAAUUAGGUUAUGGCAAAUUUGCGUUUCUACCACAGUUCGGUUACCAAAACGAUAACAGCUCGAUACUUGUCGUUGCAUCCAAUUUCGACACACGUGCCUAGUUCAUGAAUACUUGAGAUAAAAAGGUUUUAGUUUCCAUCAUGUAUGAACCUGUGAUUUCGAGAACGUUGAAUAUCGAACGAAAGAGGGAAGGGUCACGGCGUGAAGUGGUUGUGUAUAAUUUUACGGAACGAAAGAGGAAAAAAGUGACGGUGCAAAACGGUUGGGUAUAAUUUUGGCAGCGAGCCUCAUCGUCACGCUACACUGGAAGAAAGUCUGAAUGAAGGUGCAACAAGAGGGCGACGUAGCGCGACGUUUAAACGCCUCGUGAAACGAUAUUGCAUGAAGGAGACUUCGUAUCGCAACGGAUCAUUCGGAGAUUACAAGAAAUCAAAGCCCGGUUACAUCAAAGCCCGUUAUUGAGUAAGCAUCGCUGCUGUAAGGAUGUGGUGAAUCAAAUUGUGCCGCUUUGCGCCGUUGACACAAAGAUUUCGAGGACCCCGUGAGUCACGUGGGACGCGCUGGUCGACUCUCGGAUCGUCGAAUUGACGAUUCGGAUCUGGCGAGGUUAUGGGAGAACGUCCUUGAUAUCGGCCUAAAUUCCUGUGGACGCAUUCAGGCAUUUUCUCCAUAACGUAAUUCCAGAGGCAAGUAGAGGCAAGCAGAGGAGACGGGCAAAACUGAAGACGAGCGAAAGUGUGCUCGGUAUGGUGGCCCUCACGGUGAAAGUCAAACUAAUUACGAGACGGGCACGGGCACGUAAGCUGCCCGGAGAGUUAGCGUUGCAAAACAAUCCUCUUCGCUACGAAUAUUAACCCGGAACACCUGCCGCUUUCCACUGCCCGCACCAAAUUCCUUCUCAUUCUCAAGCCUCCUCUUCGUUCGUGAUACUCUUCACUGGCUCAAUCUUUAUCUUCGCCCGGCUCGCCGUCCUCUUUCCCUCGUCCGUUAAAUCAUUCGGUUCUUCCGCCUUGACCAUAUCCGGACCAAAUGGAACUUAUCGAAUUUACAGGAGUACCAUGCAUAAAAAGUUGGAGAAGAAGAAUUGCCUGUCUUAUUAAAUAUUAGGAUUAUAUGGGAAGUAAGAAAUAUAUCCCAUUUUGUACAAGAGAUCAUAAAGGUUCUUGUAUGUGCUAGCGUCUGCAACCUUCAGCACUUGGCCGCAUGGUGCAGCACUAGUUCGUGAACAACCAGAACCAAGAGCGUGUAUUCAACCAGACCUGCCAACAGUUCGCAGCGAAAGACAAAUAAGCUCUUGGAGCUCUUUGGAAACCAUUCAUAAAGAAAGAAAUAUAUAACUGGGAAGCAAAAAUGAAAAUCUUCGAUGUAACAGUAGCCGCCAUAUUUACACAUACAUGUAGUAUAUAAAGAUUUAUCGUUGGAUACACAACUAACAUAGAAACGACGGUAUUCCAUACUCCACUUACUGAGAUUCGAAACAGGGAGAACAAAUGUGGGAAUCAUAUAGAAGGCGUUGCGGUAGAGAAUUAAAUUACUGAAAAUAGAGGGCACAAGGUUUCGAGGAGAGGUUGCGACGGACUAGGACCAACUGGACGAUGUAGAAAAACGAGAAAACUGGUAAGAAACUAGUAUACACAAAUUAAAAAUAUACUCAGUAAAACCGAUCAGGAAGAGUUAUGCAAAUAAGAAAGAACUUACCAAGCAUCCUAGGGAAGGUCAGAGAGAGAAGCUUAUUUUAAAGGACACGAUGAUACGAAGGACAAAAGAAACAAGGACCUACAGUCAUACAAACAUGAAGACUAUAUCUAGUUACAACUGCCAACACACAUGAUAAGGAACAUAGCGCUGCUUAGACUAGUUCAGAGGGAAGAAAUCCAACAGAUCAAUUUUUACUAUUUUGCAAAGGUGUCUACAGAUUAUUGUAAUGUAAAUAAAUGCAAUGGAAAAUAA
Molecule: long non-coding RNA, 1996 nt
Organism: Bombus huntii
Lineage: Eukaryota; Metazoa; Arthropoda; Insecta; Hymenoptera; Apidae
Exons: 4
Source: RefSeq, a predicted model, not a curated record